UAGUGCAGAUUCGAAUAAUGGUUUUCACAGGAUUCAUUUUUCCCACUAAUGGGAUCUCACUGUGACUUAGGCAAAAGUGAAACAAUCCUGGCUGUCAAGGAGCUUGCAAACUACCCUGUGUUUGGUUAUGAGCGAAAUGGAUUCGGAGCCUGAGCCAGUGACUGGCUUCAACUACCUCAUUUCUCAGAUGAGGAAACUGAGGCACAGAGGCUAUCCCAAAAGGUGGUUUUAGAGGGAGGGCACUAGCAGCUUGGGGGAUAACAGGUGCAGCAGGAGCUGAGCCUUGAAGAAACUAAGGAAUUGACAGAGGCACUUUGGAAAUAACCUUAAAGCGAAGUAACAAGAUUAUUUGUUGCCUUCUAUACCCUCCCCCACUCUGCCUUGAGUCCCACAAUCCUCUCGGGACCGAGAAAGAGCCCCUGGGGGUGUGGGCUGAGAUUAGGCUGAGAUGCAAUGGGAGCACGAGUUGGGGAAUGAGGGGAAGCAGCCCCCCUCUAGGCUUCCGUAAGGAGCAACUUCGCUUCUCCUGUCCAAGCCUUUGCUCCGGGUGGUCUCCGGUUCCGCGCCCAUCAGCCCCGCGGUGACGGGGCGGAGUCUAAACCAGUGGUACCGACAUGGGGGUGGGGCCCAGGGCGUGGCCUCGAGACCCUCUCAGGCGCCUGCGUUCGCGAUGGGGCGGAGCCUCCCAGGGCUUGAUUUGCAUAAGGACAGCUGGCCGGUCUUUUCCGGAACCGGCUUCUUGCCCUGCUCUCCCGACUGUCGCGCGGCCGCAAGUUGUUCUUCCUUCUGCCCCGCCCCCGGCAUGGCCCUGGUGCCCCCCAAGAAAAGGCGGGGCGCAAGCCGGGGGGAGGAGGCCGGGGGCGCUGCAGCCCCCGCCCCAGCCCCGCUCCGCUUCCCAGGGCUCACUAUCUACCUGGCGGAGCGGCACAUGGGCCGGAGCCGCCGAGCUUUCCUCACGGGGCUGGCCCGGGCCAAGGGUUUCCGCGUGGACCAGGUUUACAGCCCAGAAGUGACCCACGUGGUGAUGGAGGGGAGCUCAGCAACAGAAGCAUCUGGCUGGCUGGAUCGCAUGUUGGGGGCCUCUGAGAGCCUUCCAAGGCCCCUGCUGUUGGAUAUCAGCUGGUUCACUGAGAGCAUGGGUCAGGGGAAACCUGUGCCAGUGGAAGGCCGACACUGCCUUGGGGUCCCAUUACCCACAAGGAGCCAGGCAGAUCCGGGCUGUCUGCCAGCCUACGCUUGUCAGCGACACUCGCCCCUCAACCACCACAAUCUGUGCUUUACGGAGGCCCUGGACACGCUAGCAGAAGCUGCAGGCUUUGAGGGCAGCGAGGGCCGUUUCCUGUCCUUCCGCCGGGCUGCCUCGGUGCUCAGGGCCCUGCCCGGCCCCAUCACCAGCAUGAGCCAGCUGCGAGGGCUUCCCCAUUUUGGAGACCAUUCUUCCAGGAUUGUCCAGGAACUGUUGGAAUAUGGAGUUUCUAGUGAAGUUGAAAGAGUAAAACAAUCAGAGAGAUAUCAGACCAUGAAGCUCUUUACCCAGAUCUUCGGAGUUGGGGUAAAGACUGCCGACAAGUGGUAUCGUGAUGGGCUCCGGAGCCUGGCCGAUCUCCAAGGACAGACCAGAAAACUGAGCCGGCAGCAGGAAGCAGGGAUCCGCCAUUUUGAGGACCUGAACACCCCAGUCUGGCGCCACGAGGCAGAAGCCAUCCAGCGGGUUGUGGAGAAGGCCGUACGGCAAGUGCUUCCUGGUGCUACCGUGACCCUGACCGGUGGCUUCCGAAGGGGAAAGCUGCAAGGACAUGAUGUGGACUUCCUCAUCACUCACCCCGUGGAGGGGCAGGAAGAAGGACUGCUCCCCAAGGUGAUGGACCUCCUGGAGGGCCAGGGCUUUGUUCUGUACCGACACACCCAAAGCAACCAUUACCAAGACCUCAAGGACCCUGCCCAGAGCACUUCCCUCUUCGAUGCCUACGAGAGGUGCUUCUCCAUUCUCCGGUUCCCAAACCCGGCUGCAGCCUUCCGCCCGGAGGCUGGAGAGGAGCCCUGCAGGGACGGGAAGGCCGUGCGAGUGGACCUUGUGGUGGCCCCUGCCAGCCAGUUUGCCUUCGCCCUGCUUGGCUGGACUGGCUCCCAGCAUUUUGAGAGGGAGCUUCGAAGGUUCAGCCGAGCAGAGAAGCAGCUGCUGCUGAAUAGCCACGGGCUCUAUGUCCCAGGAAAGAAGGAGUCGUUCCCAGCGGCUUCAGAGGAGGACAUUUUCAGGCACUUGGGCCUGGAGUACAUCCCACCAGAACAGAGGAACGCCUGACUGCUCGGUUUCUAGUCCCACACGGGCCUCCAUUUGUGGACAGCCAGAGAAGCAUAAGGGUUUGGGGGGCAGGAGAGGCUCCCCCGUCACAGCUUGGUCUGGCGAUCAUUCCCCUGCGCCCCUCUGCAGGGGACCCUGAGAAGCCCGCCUGGAAGAAGCCUGGGCUUCCUGAUCCUCCCAUGCUGAUUCUUGGGAAGGAGAAGGUUGGGACGUUGGCAAAGCGGCUGGAGGCGAGAGACGGGGACAGGAUAACUAAAUCUGAGAAUCAUCAUUACUGAGAUGGUCGUUAAGGUAUCGCCGAGGGAUUCAGGGAGCCGGUGGGCAGGAGUCGUGGUAUAGAAGUGGUCCAGAGCUGGCAUAUGAGGGACAGAGGCUGCUGGGGCACUGGCACUGGCACUGGGGGGGGGGGGGGGGGGCGGCGACGCUGGAACGAGAAGGGGAUGGAAGAGUCAAAAUUCAGCUUCCCAGUGCUAACGCCUUCAUAUGGGAUGAUGAAACUUUUAGGCAAGGAAGGUGCCUGAGACCUCGGGGCGCUUAGCUGCAAACAGCUUUCUGCAAACAGAAGGGGCUUCUCCCUUCCACUAGCCCUCAACCCUGCCGCCCCCCCCCCCAAUUAGGACAAGGCAUUUUGUGUUGCUGUGGUAACAGGACUGUCAUGUUUACCCUCCAGAACCCCCUCCCCAACCCAGCUGCCCCGGGGGGAGAGGAACCUCCUUCCAGACCGCCCCACAAGGCCCACACCACUU
RNA transcript from Antechinus flavipes (yellow-footed antechinus), 3048 nucleotides. It is a transcript of the gene named DNA polymerase mu, with no coding region annotated. Lineage: Eukaryota; Metazoa; Chordata; Mammalia; Dasyuromorphia; Dasyuridae. The record is from RefSeq and is a predicted model, not a curated record. The transcript has 12 exons.